UUUGGCCAAAAACUUUUACUUUCUCCCUUGUCAUUAUCUUGUUUUGAUAGGUUGACUUACUUUUGUUUUGAAAUUACCUCUUGUGAAAAACCUAGGAGGAAUGAUAUGGGCUGUCUUCCUCCGCCCCUUCCUCCUCCUUCUCUCCCUACCAUGACUCUCAACUCAAAUCUUUCUUCCCCACCCCUCCCUACAAAACCUGUACCCUCACGUCAAGUAUGGAGAGUAGAUGGUGGUGGCCAAGAACCCACAGGAGGACAUUUCUUCUCCACAUGGAAUGAGUAAGGUGAAGAGGAAUAGAAAAAUGGAAUGAACCUUGGUAAGGGAAGAUGAAAGCCCAAGAUGGAGUAAUAGAAUGUGGAAAGGCCCAGAGCUGCUCUAAGUACAUGCAACGAGGCAUCCCCCACUCCCGGCUUUGCUUGGC
Molecule: long non-coding RNA, 421 nt
Organism: Zalophus californianus (California sea lion)
Lineage: Eukaryota; Metazoa; Chordata; Mammalia; Carnivora; Otariidae
Exons: 3
Source: RefSeq, a predicted model, not a curated record